AUUGAACGCUGGCGGCAUGCCUUACACAUGCAAGUCGAACGGCAGCACGGGAGCAAUCCUGGUGGCGAGUGGCGAACGGGUGAGUAAUAUAUCGGAACGUGCCCAGUCGUGGGGAUAACGUAGCGAAAGCUACGCUAAUACCGCAUACGAUCUAUGGAUGAAAGCGGGGGAUCGCAAGACCUCGCGCGAUUGGAGCGGCCGAUAUCAGAUUAGGUAGUUGGUGGGGUAAAGGCUCACCAAGCCAACGAUCUGUAGCUGGUCUGAGAGGACGACCAGCCACACUGGAACUGAGACACGGUCCAGACUCCUACGGGAGGCAGCAGUGGGGAAUUUUGGACAAUGGACGCAAGUCUGAUCCAGCCAUUCCGCGUGCAGGAUGAAGGCCCUCGGGUUGUAAACUGCUUUUGUACGGAACGAAAAGGUUUCUAUUAAUACUAGGAGCUCAUGACGGUACCGUAAGAAUAAGCACCGGCUAACUACGUGCCAG
This 487-nucleotide ribosomal RNA is filed under the name uncultured bacterium. RNAcentral's name for it is "bacterial SSU rRNA". It matches the Rfam family "Bacterial small subunit ribosomal RNA", at positions 30 to 511 of the family's 1533-position model. The record is from RNAcentral.